GUGGGGAAUCUUCCGCAAUGGACGAAAGUCUGACGGAGCAACGCCGCGUGAGUGAUGAAGGUCUUCGGAUUGUAAAGCUCUGUUAAUCGGGACGAAAGAGCCUAGUGUGAAUAAUGCUAGGAAGUGACGGUACCGGAAUAGAAAGCCACGGCUAACUACGUGCCAGCAGCCGCGGUAAUACGUAGGUGGCAAGCGUUGUCCGGAAUUAUUGGGCGUAAAGCGCGCGCAGGCGGAUCUGCCAGUCUGUCUUAAAAGUUCGGGGCUUAACCCCGUGAUGGGAUGGAAACUACAGAGCUAGAGUAUCGGUGAGGAAAGUGGAAUUCCUAGUGUAGCGGUGAAAUGCGUAGAUAUUAGGAAGAACACCAGUGGCGAAGGCGACUUUCUGGACGAAAACUGACGCUGAGGCGCGAAAGCCAGGGGAGCGAACGGGAUUAGAUACCCGAGUAGUCC
This 450-nucleotide ribosomal RNA is filed under the name uncultured bacterium. RNAcentral describes it as "partial 16S ribosomal RNA". It matches the Rfam family "Bacterial small subunit ribosomal RNA", at positions 354 to 796 of the family's 1533-position model. The record is from RNAcentral.